Molecule: ribosomal RNA, 252 nt
Filed under: uncultured bacterium
Lineage: Bacteria
Description: partial 16S ribosomal RNA
Rfam family: Bacterial small subunit ribosomal RNA
Source: RNAcentral
UACGUAGGGAGCAAGCGUUGUCCGGAAUUACUGGGUGUAAAGGGAGCGUAGGCGGGAUGGCAAGUUGGGUGUUAAAUCUACCGGCUCAACUGGUAGUCGCACUCAAAACUGCUAUUCUUGAGUUAAGUAGAGGCAGGCGGAAUUCCUAGUGUAGCGGUGAAAUGCGUAGAUAUUAGGAGGAACACCAGUGGCGAAGGCGGCCUGCUGGGCUUUUACUGACGCUGAGGCUCGAAAGUGUGGGGAGCAAACAGG